This 332-nucleotide unclassified non-coding RNA is filed under the name soil metagenome. Its description in RNAcentral is "partial contains 5.8S ribosomal RNA, internal transcribed spacer 2, and large subunit ribosomal RNA". The stretch from base 1 to 120 matches the Rfam family "5.8S ribosomal RNA", at positions 35 to 154 of the family's 154-position model. The record is from RNAcentral.
GAUGAAGAACGCAGCAAAAUGCGAUAAGUAAUGUGAAUUGCAGAAUUCAGUGAAUCAUCGAAUCUUUGAACGCACAUUGCGCCCGCCAGUAUUCUGGCGGGCAUGCCUGUUCGAGCGUCAUUUCAACCCUCAAGCACAGCUUGGUGUUGGGACUCGCGUUAAUUCGCGUUCCUCAAAUUGAUUGGCGGUCACGUCGAUCUUCCAUAGCGUAGUAGUAAAACCCUCGUUACUGGUAAUCGUCGCGGCCACGCCGUUAAACCCCAACUUCUGAAUGUUGACCUCGGAUCAGGUAGGAAUACCCGCUGAACUUAAGCAUAUCAAUAAGCGGAGGA